UUCACUUGCUUGUCUCAUUUUUCUCUCUGAGUGGGACUGAUGUGUGUGAAGGAAUCAGAGCGGAUAUAACGCUCGUUUUCCUUGUUGUCAGCAGUUGCUGUGUGUUGGACGAGCUUGUCCUCCUCUGCUGUGCACUUCAUCUAAAAAUUCCACAGAGGCAUAAGAGUGCUUCUUUCCGCUAUGAAAAAUGGAGCAGCACAAGCUUUUUCCACAUCACACUUUCUGUUACCAGGAGAUUAGAAAGAGAAGGUGGAGCACUCUGGAGAAAACAUCCUGCUCUGGGCAGCAGUAAUCUUCAUUGGAACCACACGACAUGCACAGAGCCGGGUAAAUUGUGUUCUCCUGCUCGCAUCUGAGAGGAAACACUAAACAAACUUUAUACUGUAGGGACAAAUUAUUCUCCUGAGAGCCAGUAUGUAACAGAACGUCCUUCAGAUGAAGUUUGAAUCUUUUAAUGUACGUGAAUAACUGGGACGACAGUUGUCUUGGUAUAUUUAUUCAUUCAUUUUCUCAGUUACAUCUGUUAUAGAACAGUACAAGCCUCAUCAGAUAAAUAUAUAACUUCAGUAAGUCGAUUUAAAUAGGGUUAAAUAAAUAAAUUAGCUGUUUGUAUAGAUGUAUGACAUGUAAACAUAGAGGGAACAAAUGUAAAAAUACAAAUGUAUAAAUAAAUAACAAGUUAAAUAGAGACAGUAUAUUCCUGAUAUGGCUAUUUCACUAUAGAUCUGCCUGAAAAUAAAU
This is a long non-coding RNA of Sphaeramia orbicularis (orbiculate cardinalfish), 741 nucleotides long. RefSeq lists it as uncharacterized. The transcript is spliced from 2 exons. The record is from RefSeq and is a predicted model, not a curated record. NCBI's taxonomy places the organism in Eukaryota, Metazoa, Chordata, Actinopteri, Kurtiformes, Apogonidae.